GAUGAACGCUGGCGGCGUGCCUAAUACAUGCAAGUCGAGCGAAUGGAUUAAGAGCUUGCUCUUAUGAAGUCAGCGGCGGACGGGUGAGUAACACGUGGGUAACCUGCCCAUAAGACUGGGAUAACUCCGGGAAACCGGGGCUAAUACCGGAUAACAUUUUGAACUGCAUGGUUCGAAAUUGAAAGGCGGCUUCGGCUGUCACUUAUGGAUGGACCCGUGUCGCAUUAGCUAGUUGGUGAGGUAACGGCUCACCAAGGCAACGAUGCGUAGCCGACCUGAGAGGGUGAUCGGCCACACUGGGACUGAGACACGGCCCAGACUCCUACGGGAGGCAGCAGUAGGGAAUCUUCCGCAAUGGACGAAAGUCUGACGGAGCAACGCCGCGUGAGUGAUGAAGGCUUUCGGGUCGUAAAACUCUGUUGUUAGGGAAGAACAAGUGCUAGUUGAAUAAGCUGGCACCUUGACGGUACCUAACCAGAAAGCCACGGCUAACUACGUGCCAGCCGCCGCGGUAA
RNAcentral lists this ribosomal RNA (515 nucleotides) under uncultured bacterium. RNAcentral describes it as "partial 16S ribosomal RNA". It matches the Rfam family "Bacterial small subunit ribosomal RNA", at positions 28 to 523 of the family's 1533-position model. The record is from RNAcentral.